This 378-nucleotide unclassified non-coding RNA is filed under the name uncultured Chlamydiales bacterium. RNAcentral's name for it is "contains 16S-23S intergenic spacer region". Lineage: Bacteria; Pseudomonadati; Chlamydiota; Chlamydiia; Chlamydiales. The record is from RNAcentral.
UCCUGGUUAACCCAGGCAGUCUCGUUAGAGUUCCCGCCAUUACGCGCUGGCAACUAACGAUAAGGGUUGCGCUCGUUGCUGGACUUAACCAAACACCUCACGGCACGAGCUGACGACAGCCAUGCAGCACCUAUAUAGAGACCCUUUCGGGAAAUUCAAUCUCUUGAAUCGUCCUCUACAUUUCGAGCCCAGGUAAGGUUCUUCGUGUUGCAUCGAAUUAAACCACAUGCUCCACUGCUUGUGCGGGCCCCCGUCAAUUCUUUUGAGUUUCACCCUUGCGAGCGUACUCCCCAGGCGGCAUACUUAACGCGUUAGCUCCGAUACUGGAAGGGUUGAGCCCUCCAACAUCUAGUAUGCAUCGUUUAAGGCUAGGACUAC